GAUGAACGCUGGCGGCGUGCCUAAUACAUGCAAGUCGAGCGAACAGACGAGGAGCUUGCUCCUCUGACGUUAGCGGCGGACGGGUGAGUAACACGUGGAUAACCUACCUAUAAGACUGGGAUAACUUCGGGAAACCGGAGCUAAUACCGGAUAAUAUAUUGAACCGCAUGGUUCAAUAGUGAAAGACGGUUUUGCUGUCACUUAUAGAUGGAUCCGCGCCGCAUUAGCUAGUUGGUAAGGUAACGGCUUACCAAGGCGACGAUGCGUAGCCGACCUGAGAGGGUGAUCGGCCACACUGGAACUGAGACACGGUCCAGACUCCUACGGGAGGCAGCAGUAGGGAAUCUUCCGCAAUGGGCGAAAGCCUGACGGGGCAACGCCGCGUGAGUGAUGAAGGUCUUCGGAUCGUAAAACUCUGUUAUUAGGGAAGAACAAAUGUGUAAGUAACUAUGCACGUCUUGACGGUACCUAAUCAGAAAGCCACGGCUAACUACGU
Molecule: ribosomal RNA, 496 nt
Filed under: uncultured bacterium
Lineage: Bacteria
Description: partial 16S ribosomal RNA
Rfam family: Bacterial small subunit ribosomal RNA
Source: RNAcentral